This 425-nucleotide ribosomal RNA is filed under the name uncultured bacterium. RNAcentral's name for it is "bacterial SSU rRNA". It matches the Rfam family "Bacterial small subunit ribosomal RNA", at positions 354 to 796 of the family's 1533-position model. The record is from RNAcentral.
GUGAGGAAUAUUGCGCAAUGGGCGAAAGCCUGACGCAGCGACGCCGCGUGUGUGAUGAAGUCUUUCGGGAUGUAAAACACUGUCAGGAAGGACGAUAAUGACAGUACUUCCAGAGGAAGCCCCGGCUAACUACGUGCCAGCAGCCGCGGUAAUACGUAGGGGGCGAGCGUUGUCCGGAAUUAUUGGGCGUAAAGGGUGCGUAGGCGGUGAUUCAAGUCGGAUGUAAAAGGUGUGGGCUCAACUCACAUUUAGCAUCUGAUACUGUUUCACUAGAGAGCAGUAGAAGGAAGCGGAAUUUCCGGUGUAGCGGUGAAAUGCGUAGAUAUCGGAAGGAACACCAGUGGCGAAGGCGGCUUCCUAGCCUGUUUCUGACGCUGAUGCACGAAAGCUAGGGGAGCAAACGGGAUUAGAUACCCGUGUAGUCC